This 1157-nucleotide small RNA is filed under the name Arabidopsis thaliana (thale cress). RNAcentral describes it as "ATSL095330". The record is from RNAcentral. Lineage: Eukaryota; Viridiplantae; Streptophyta; Magnoliopsida; Brassicales; Brassicaceae.
AAAUUGUAUUUGUUGUAUUAAUAUUAUUUGUUUUGUUUAAUGUUUACAAUUGUAUAAUUAUAUUUUGAUUAUUAAUUCUAGGGUUUCACGCAUAGUAUAUCAUCCCAUAAUAAUAUCGAUCCAGACAUGUUCUAUAUUUUAGGGUCCAAAAUGUUUAAAUAAUUACAAAAUAAGGUCUAAAUUUUAAAUAUUUAAAAUUUAAGUAAACAAAUUGGAACUUAAAACCGGGUCCAUUAAUUUAUUGGACCGGCCUGACCUUGUUAGUAGCCAAUAUCGUUAUAAAUAUGUAUUAUAUAAACAUUUAUAGGGCCCGCAUUUAUAUAAGCAAUGCGAUCCCUUACUUAUCCAUUUUUGACAUUACUUUUGAGACAGAUUGCAAGGAGUUGACACAGCUUUUGGACACUCCUGAUGAGUGGCCCGCAUUUUCUUCGGAGUUAGAAGAUUUUAAUGCUUUAAAGUCUAGAUUUCCUCGUUUUUCUUUAUCUUUUAUUCCACGUUUAAACAAUGUCCGUGCUGAUUAUUUUGCUAAGAAGGCAAGAGCACGAGGUUCUAUUUUUUCUCAUGUAAGCUCAUCAGGAUCCUAACUGAAAAAACGAUCCAUCAGAACAACAGCCCACAUGACUUACCCAAAGACUAAUCAUGCCUAAAGCCCAUCAGAUUUUAUGCCCAUUUACAACAAAUAAAAAUAGAAACUUGUUAAUAUUUUCGGUUGCCAAGGAUCGAACCAACCACCUUCUACCUUUAAUAGCAUAGAAAACAAUUAGACUUCAAGACGUUCUUUAAAAUUUGAUGCCCUCUAAAAUACAUAUAAAUCUUUUUACCUAAAGCAUCUAUUUGGUGGGCUUUAGGUCUGGGUCAAGCUUGACGGCCUAUCAGGCCAAGGGCUCGGCCCAAAUAAAGAAGGCUCAGCCCAUAAAACUUAAGAGAGAAUUCCUCCUUAACUCUUUGAUCUCUUACUUUCUGGUUUUUCGUUAUGUACUUUCGGUCUUUUGUUCUGUACUUUUGGUUUUAUGUUUUAUUAAUUACUAUUCUCAUUCAUCGUUGAUAAAAAAGCGGCCCCAUUCUCCCAAAAAAUCCCUUAGUUACUUAUUAUUACAACUUCAUUACAAAAAAUUGGCGUCCACCAUGGGGCUAGGAAGAGUUUUCUCCUUUAUUGA